GACGAACGCUGGCGGCGUGCCUAAUACAUGCAAGUAGAACGCUGAAGGACUACCUUGCUUCUCUGGAUGAGUUGCGAACGGGUGAGUAACGCGUAGGUAACCUGCCUUGUAGCGGGGGAUAACUAUUGGAAACGAUAGCUAAUACCGGAUAACAGUAGAUAUCGCAUGAUAUCUACUGGAAAGUUUCAAUUGCAUCACUACCACAUGGAGCUGCUUUGUAUUAGCUAGUUGGUGAGGUAACGGCUCACCUAGGCGGCGAUACAUAGCAGACCUGAGAGGGUGAUCAGCCACACUGAGACUGAGACACGGCCCAGACGGCUACAGGAGGCAGCAGUAGGGAAUCUUCGGCAAGGGACGGAAGUCUGACCGAGCAACGCCGCGUGAGUGAAGAAGGUUUUCGGAUCGUAAAUCUCGGUUGUAAGAGAAGAACGAGUGUGAGAGUGGAAAGUUCACACUGUGACGGUAUCUUACCAGAAAGGGACGGCUAACUACGUG
This 495-nucleotide ribosomal RNA is filed under the name uncultured bacterium. RNAcentral describes it as "partial 16S ribosomal RNA". It matches the Rfam family "Bacterial small subunit ribosomal RNA", at positions 28 to 507 of the family's 1533-position model. The record is from RNAcentral.